GAUGAACGCAGGCGGCGUGCCUAAUACAUGCAAGUCGAGCGAACAGAUGAGAAGCUUGCUUCUCUGAUGUUAGCGGCGGACGGGUGAGUAACACGUGGGUAACCUACCUAUAAGACUGGGAUAACUCCGGGAAACCGGGGCUAAUACCCGAUAAUAUUUUGAACCGCAUGGUUCAAUAGUGAAAGACGGUUUCGGCUGUCACUUAUAGAUGGACCCGCGCCGUAUUAGCUAGUUGGUAAGGUAACGGCUUACCAAGGCGACGAUACGUAGCCGACCUGAGGGGUUGAUCGGCCAAACUGGAACUGAGACACGGUCCAGACUCCUACGGGAGGCAGCAGUAGGGAAUCUUCCGCAAUGGGCGAAAGCCUGACGGAGCAACGCCGCGUGAGUGAUGAAGGUCUUCGGAUCGUAAAACUCUGUUGUUAGGGAAGAACAAAUUUGUUAGUAACUGAACAAGUCUUGACGGUACCUAACCAGAAAGCCACGGCUAACUACGUGCCAGCAGCCGCCGUAA
RNAcentral lists this ribosomal RNA (514 nucleotides) under uncultured bacterium. RNAcentral's name for it is "partial 16S ribosomal RNA". It matches the Rfam family "Bacterial small subunit ribosomal RNA", at positions 28 to 523 of the family's 1533-position model. The record is from RNAcentral.